Long non-coding RNA from Ostrea edulis (European flat oyster), 1255 nucleotides. RefSeq lists it as uncharacterized. The record is from RefSeq and is a predicted model, not a curated record. The transcript has 2 exons. Lineage: Eukaryota; Metazoa; Mollusca; Bivalvia; Ostreida; Ostreidae.
UACAGACUUCUAUAGUAGGGUCACUUUUGAAGAAGAACUGCGGCAUUUCAACCUCGUCUACCAAGACAGCGUGUACUGGUUUCCAGUUGAAGAGAACGUUUUCCACCGUGUAGCCAUCUACAACACAGAGUACCUACUUCGGACAAUGCCUGUAGUAAUUUAAAAGUAGUUCUCAACGCAAAUUGGGAAUUGUUGAUUAUCAAUGUGGUCGGCUUAAAACAGAACAAAUUGGCGACAAGGAUGAAAAUCUAAGGUUGCUGAUUUGGUAGAAAUAUAUCGGUCUUGUGAAGUACAUGUAUAGUGAUCUUGAUUACAUGGAUUAUAAUCCAAUCUUGGACAUCCCUGGACAAAGGCCAUACAUUUCUCGGAUUGAUCAUGACAAUCGGAUCAUCACUCAGCCUUUACCAUUUAGUCGAGAGAAAAAAACUUUGGAGGUAAUAAGUCACCCUUUUGGAUAUAACAUUAUUGGGGACUCGACAUAACGGCCGAUUUCGACAACGCUAUAAAUAGGUUUAUUCUUCUUUGUGAAUUCCGCUUGACAACGGACAAACAACGAACACCUGUUUAUAAACUUGAGUUACUGUAAUUUAGUAUUUAUAACUACAGUUGUGAAUAAAUUGUUAAAUCUUUAACUUUUUGCUGGACUUGGGUUAUUCUGACAUAUAAUAAUAGGGUAAUAGAAAGUAUGUAGAAUAGAAAACAGAGCCGAUGAAAGCUGACAUUGGAUUUACAACAGAGAGAAAAAAAUCAUUAGAGACAAUCUGGAAUGACGUGAACGUAUCUGAAAUAUGUACAUGCAGUGGGAUUGAAGAUAAAAGAAAUGUACGACAUAUUUUUCUAAAUAAUGGUACAUGCAUUUUUAUUUACGCAAAAAUGUAAAUGGAAAAUAGCUAUUUUUAUUAUCAUUUUCAAUCAUUGUCACAUGUUAGGUUAAGUAGACAUGCCGAUCCCUUCACGAAGAAAAACAAGUUCAGCAUGUUGACUGUAAAUACUUAAAGGAUUUCUAAGCGAAACUUUUGGAACGAGGCCUGUGCAGUAGCAGCCAUUAGCGAUGAGUGAAUGUAUUCUUUGCAUCACUAGGUAUGAGGGAAUAGGGAGUUGAAAACACUAGUGACAAAUCACUGAACAGUGUAUCAUUAAAUUCUGCAGUUAACACGCUAUGUUAUUUACUUUAAACAUACGCAAUACUAGAAACAAGUAAUAAAUUAGAACUGAUAGAUUUAUAAGAUUAAAAUGUUCUAAAGAGGCCAAGAAA